This is a long non-coding RNA of Catharus ustulatus (Swainson's thrush), 3195 nucleotides long. RefSeq lists it as uncharacterized. The transcript has 14 exons. NCBI's taxonomy places the organism in Eukaryota, Metazoa, Chordata, Aves, Passeriformes, Turdidae. The record is from RefSeq and is a predicted model, not a curated record.
CUCCAACCCACAGAGGGGAUGGGAGCAGGAUGCUGUGUCUGUAAUUGUCAGGAGGGAUUUUUGAGGCAGCUUUGGAGCUGGGGAAGUCCAAGAAGCAGCCCCUUAUUUCCCCCUAAUGUGAAAAGUCUCUUUUUGAUCUUAAAGCUGUAGUACACAAGGCAGAGCAGUUCCUCUGGGUGUCACGUCACUUGUCUCUUGUGCUGUGUGUGUCUUCUGUGUGUGUUGCAUUGCCUGUCUCUUGCCUUAGUCCUUUGAGGGGCCUAUCAGAAACCCUGGGCUCAUCCAUAGCAUCUUGUGAUCUCUGCAUUCAUCAGCCUGGCUGUGGUGCCAUCAAACCUUGGUCUCAGGAGCUUGGACAGGCAUCUGAAUCUCUUUUCUUUUGGAAAGCUUCCAGUCUCAUUUCUUAAGGUCUUGCUCUGUGUUGUAUUGCCAGCUGUGCACCUGAAGGAUCCAUCAAAAGAGAUGAGGAAUUAGAGGAAUGGGAAGAUAAGAAGAGGAUUCUCAGGCAUCCAUCUCUUCAGUUCUUGGAGCAAAUCAUUUUGCUGGCAUCUUUUUCCAGCCUUGUCAGCUUACUGUCAGUCUUCCCUCAGUCAUCUCAUUUUGCAUUCUCUCAGUCCUCAUGGUUCUUCUUGCUGAGUUUUUUCGUCCCCCUGUCCUCCCCUCAUUUGUCAUGUCCUGUGUCACGGGUGCCUGCACACAUUUGGUCUGGAGCUGCUCUGCCCUGAUGCAUAGUCACGAUAGGACAAGGUGCAGGGACUUGGGUUUUGUACCGUGGGGUGGUGUUGGACUCUAGAUCAGAUCUGCAGAUUCACUCAAGAUGUCUGGGGCUGCCCAGCUAUUAUGCUGGGCUUUAAAUUUUGUUUUAAGUUCUUUUUACCUUCAGUUUUCUGGGGUUUUGGGUAGAAAAUGUGUGGGGAUAUCUCUUGGCUCUCAGGUAACCACUCACUGACCUCCCGCUUCUGUCUCGCAGGUCCCCGAGGCAGAUUUCCAGUUCUCAGCCGCCACCUUUCACAGAACCUAUCCCUCGAUGUCGAGGACCAGCAGCCAGAGGAUGCGGUCAAGCAUCCUAUUCAGCGUACCGUUUCAGAUCGCAGGAUAUGCUAAAGAUAUACUGGGGUUGAGAGGAAUCCUAAAUCUGAGUCUCAAGUCCGUAGGUUUCCUGCAGCUGGCGGGCAGUGUGGGGCAGGAGGAGGCCAGGAGUCCCUGGAAGGCAACAGCACCUCUUGUGCUUUGGCUCUGCGGUGUCCUGCCUGUGCCAAGCACGUCCCAGGGACGGACACUGGGCUGCCCAGGCAGCGCUGGCACAGACACGGCUCAAGGGCUGCCCGUGGCUCCUGGGCCAGGGGCUGCUCUGAAUGGGCACCUGGAGAUGCUUCAGCCUGGGCAGAGACCACCGAGAGCCCAAAAGCACCGCAAGGCACAGCUGGCAUUUCCUGCUGAUGGCAGCACAGGCCACUUACAGAGGAGCUCAGACAGCGAUUCCUGGUUCUGAUCUCCCAGAGCUCCAACACAGCUGCCAGACAAAAGUCCUUCCUGCAUGCCGAUGAAGGCUUUGUCUGCUCCGAAUUGACGUGUAAUGAAGUGCUGUCUUCUCGCUAAUGGGAGCCAUCGGAGGUGAUGGGUGCUUUGGCAGGAAGUCCCUUGGCAGAACGUGAAGUAGCAGCCCCCAGUAGCUGUGUGUCAUUUGCUGGUGCAGAUGCUCCAGUAACCACUCCAGUGACAGAAAAUACAGACUCACCAGUCUGGGACUUCAGCAGCAAGCAAGAUUAUCCAAAGGGCUUCUCCUGGAUCCACAGCAAACCUUAGUCUUCAAAGUGUGGCAUAAAGCAGGUGAAGGUCAGCUUUCCAGCAUGUCCCAGUAAUUCUACAAACUUGUCCAAGCAGAUGUUGAAUUCCUUGUCAGAGGAAGUCAGUGUUCCCGCUCUAGAGUGGUAAGUUCACAGGCUGACAACCUUUCUGAUUAUUCUCAGAAAAAACUUGAGCUGGGUGAGGUUCAAAGAUACUUCAGUGAGAAGCUGACCAGGUCUUUCCCUGACUUCAGCACAUCCAAACCAAGCCAUGAGGAGUGUGAGAGUGACCCUCAGGGCUUGAUGAGCAGAGAAGUGGAUCCCAAAGGCUGCCAUCUUCUGGAAAAAUCCAGUCAGUUGGUGUCUCAGAGCACUGAACCCAUCAAGAGAAGUGUAGAGAUCCAUGCAGGCUCUGAGGAGCUGCUGCCAUUCCCAGGAGACAGGGGUUUGACCAGUGGAAAAACCACUGAGAGAGAGGAGGAGGAAAAUGCUGAGGUUGUAAAUGGAGAUCAUCAAAGCAAAGAAGGAAGUGGUUCUGAUGAGAACUGUGUUGGGAGUCUAUCAGCACAAGCUGGCUCAGAAAGAAACUGUGAGAGCUUCCCUGAUGACAGCAGUGAAGACCCAGUGGAAGGCUCAGAAAGCUCCAUCAAACCAAAAAUCCCUUUAUCUGAUCCUGUUGUUGUUCCCAACUUCUUCCUUCCACCCCAGGAGAUGGAAGCCUCCAUGACACUGCUCAGCACUUCCUCUCAUCCCUCUGCAUCUCCAGAGGGAUCCUGCUGGAGCUGGUGACAAAUCCCUAGCCCUACACGGACAAGGCAGCAGACCUGUUUCAGAAAGCCAGCAUGGUCCAGGUGGCUGUGUUUAAAGAGGACUCUGAUAGCAUCCAGCAUCCCUGUCUCUCACAUUGACGAUGUCCUGGAUAUGGUGGAUGUCCUGAUUGAGGGCAGUGAUGGCUUUGAUGAAGCAAUUGGGUUCUCUUUAAGUGAAGACAUGAUUAUCCAAACAUUUCCCUUCAGUGCUGUUGUCCCUGCUGCCUUAGAAGCCAGGAAUAUACUGUUGCUUCAGUCUGAAAAUGGAACAGGGAGAUGAACGCAAACUCACAGCCAUUCAGUCCUGACAGUCCCCUGCAGUGAGAGCUCAGUACACAUCCACAGAGGCAAGUCCAGCAUCUGAAAGAAAACAAACCAAAGGAUAAGUGUGGAGGACCAUCCAUCAUCUGCCCUGGACUUCAGAAUGAUGACAUCUGGACUUCAUCCUCACAAUGCUGUAGCACUGACACUUCAAACAAACUGAGAAAAUGAUAAAAAAAAAAGGGCACAACUUACAACCAUUCCACAAGCAUAAUAUCUGUGUGCAAACAAAAGGCUAAAUUUGGCUGGAAAUAAUUAAAGUUUUGGGGUUUCUUUUU